AGUCGAACGGCAGCGCGGGGCAACCUGGCGGCGAGUGGCGAACGGGUGAGUAAUAUAUCGGAACAUACCCUAGAGUGGGGGAUAACGUAGCGAAAGUUACGCUAAUACCGCAUACGCACUAAGGUGGAAAGUGGGGGACCGCAAGACCUCAUGCUCAUGGAGUGGCCGAUAUCUGAUUAGCUAGUUGGUGAGGUAAAGGCUCACCAAGGCGACGAUCAGUAGCUGGUCUGAGAGGACGACCAGCCACACUGGAACUGAGACACGGUCCAGACUCCUACGGGAGGCAGCAGUGGGGAAUAUUGGACA
This 306-nucleotide ribosomal RNA is filed under the name uncultured bacterium. Its description in RNAcentral is "bacterial SSU rRNA". It matches the Rfam family "Bacterial small subunit ribosomal RNA", at positions 60 to 370 of the family's 1533-position model. The record is from RNAcentral.